GAUGAAGAACGUAGCGAAAUGCGAUAACUAAUGUGAAUUGCAGAAUUCCGUGAAUCAUCGAAUCUUUGAACGCACAUUGCGCCCGCUGGUAUUCCGGCGGGCAUGCCUGUUCGAGCGUCAUUUCAACCCUCAAGCCCCCGGGUUUGGUGUUGGGGAUCGGCUCUGCCCUUCUGGGCGGUGCCGCCCCCGAAAUACAUUGGCGGUCUCGCUGCAGCCUCCAUUGCGUAGUAGCUAACACCUCGCAACUGGAACGCGGCGCGGCCAUGCCGUAAAACCCCAACUUCUGAAUGUUGACCUCGGAUCAGGUAGGAAUACCCGCUGAACUUAAGCAUAUCAAUAAGCGGAGGA
This 348-nucleotide unclassified non-coding RNA is filed under the name soil metagenome. RNAcentral's name for it is "partial contains 5.8S ribosomal RNA, internal transcribed spacer 2, and large subunit ribosomal RNA". The stretch from base 1 to 120 matches the Rfam family "5.8S ribosomal RNA", at positions 35 to 154 of the family's 154-position model. The record is from RNAcentral.